This is a long non-coding RNA of Mastomys coucha (southern multimammate mouse), 552 nucleotides long. RefSeq lists it as uncharacterized. The transcript is spliced from 4 exons. The record is from RefSeq and is a predicted model, not a curated record. Lineage: Eukaryota; Metazoa; Chordata; Mammalia; Rodentia; Muridae.
UGAGGCUUCCAUGCUCAGUGAAAAAAAACAAGACAGAGGAAGACAUGUGUUUCUAAACUGAUUAUAAUCACCUGACAUUGAGAGUGAAAGGAGAAAGAGAAGAAAUCAACAAUAUUUCAAGUGGAGCAGUAUGAAUAAAAGAAAAGAGUACAGAAAUUAGAGUCACUUUUGCAUGCUGCCCUGUUCAAACGGAUGGAAUCCCUGGCUUCUUGCAAACUCAGAAUUCAUGCGACUGAGGGAACUCCAAAUCAGCCUCCAAUAUCUCUGUGUUCUAAACUUCUUCCAGUUCUGCCUUAAUGUUUUCAGUGGCAUCAAACUGGCAUUGUGACCUACCUCAGCAGCGGCUACCCAGCUUCCGAAGAAAGUACUUGAGAUUAGUUAUUUACGCAUGGUCAUCUGGACACCCAGGGAUCCUGAGCAUCUCAAAGAAGACUAAGAAGUGCCAACAGAUAAAUAUUGGAUACACCAAGGACAGCAUACUUGAGAUUUGUUGUGUGUUUGCAAACACCAGGAAUGAACUAAUGCCUCCUGAAUAAAGCAAAAGAGAAUCAU